Molecule: ribosomal RNA, 468 nt
Filed under: uncultured bacterium
Lineage: Bacteria
Description: partial 16S ribosomal RNA
Rfam family: Bacterial small subunit ribosomal RNA
Source: RNAcentral
GACGAACGCUGGCGGCGUGCUUAACACAUGCAAGUCGAACGGAAAGGCCCUGCUUUUGUGGGGUGCUCGAGUGGCGAACGGGUGAGUAACACGUGAGUAACCUGCCCUUGACUUUGGGAUAACUUCAGGAAACUGGGGCUAAUACCGGAUAGGAGCUCCUGCUGCAUGGUGGGGGUUGGAAAGUUUCGGCGGUUGGGGAUGGACUCGCGGCUUAUCAGCUUGUUGGUGGGGUAGUGGCUUACCAAGGCUUUGACGGGUAGCCGGCCUGAGAGGGUGACCGGCCACCUUGGUACUGAGAUACGGCCCAGACUCCUACGGGAGGCAGCAGUGGGGAAUAUUGCACAAUGGGCGGAAGCCUGAUGCAGCAACGCCGCGUGCGUGAUGACGGCCUUCGGGUUGUAAACCGCUUUCGCCUGUGACGAAGCGUGAGUGACGGUAAUGGGUAAAGAAGCACCGGCUAACUACGUG